This 874-nucleotide long non-coding RNA is filed under the name Lonchura striata (white-rumped munia). RNAcentral's name for it is "domestica (Bengalese finch) lncRNA (ENSLSDG00000008747.1)". The record is from RNAcentral. Lineage: Eukaryota; Metazoa; Chordata; Aves; Passeriformes; Estrildidae.
CCCAAUCCCAGACCGCAGGCGUCGUUUCCCUUCGCGAUCCAGCGCUCUCCCCUCCACCGCUGAUCUCCCCCGGGGUCCCCCCCGGGGCUCCCCCACGCCCGCAGGCCGCGGCGGGGAGACGGUGCGGGGCAUCUGCCGGAGCUCCGGGGCUCGCGUGGACUGCGGCCACGAGCCCGACGCCGGGCUGGCCCCGGUGCGAGUCAUCCGCCUGCUGGGGACGCGCAGGGAGGUGGAGGCGGCCAAGGUGAGCGCGGCCGGGCUGGGGGCGACCCCGGCACCCUCCUCAUCAUCCUCAUCAUCAUCAUCGUCAUCCUCAGAAGCUGAUCAUGGAGAAGCUGGCGGAGGACAAGGCGCUCCGCCGGGAGCUGGCGCAGGCGGCGGCCGCGCGGUGCCCGCGGAAGCAGCCGCUGGGCAGCCGCCGGGAGCCGCCGCCGGAGCCUCCCCCCGGUGCUCCCGGGAGCGCCGGCGGCUGGCGGGAGUGCUGGGAUAAUGACUGGGCACCGGAGGCAGCGGCGGGGAGCAGCGCCGGGAUGGAGACGGGGCAGACGGAGGCGGCGGAUGAGGGAGAGGAGCGGCGGGAUGGGAGCGAGGAGCACCGGGAUGGGAGAGAGGAGCACCGGGAUGCGGGAGAGGAGCACCGGGAUGGGAGCGAGCAGCACCGGGAUGGGAGCGAGGAGCACCGGGAUGGGAGUGACGAGCACCGGGAUGGGAGAGAGGAGCACCGGGAUGGGAGCGAGGAGCACCAGGAUGGGAGCGAGGAGCACCGGGAUGGGAGCGAGGAGCCGCCUGUGGCCAAGUUCGAGGUGCCCAGCCCGGAUUUCGGCUGCCCAGUGGACGAGCUGCUGGACGUGUACGUGUCGGCGGCCGAGAGCCC